UACGGGGGGGGCAAGCGUUGUUCGGAAUUACUGGGCGUAAAGGGUGCGUAGGCGGGCUGCCAAGUUUGGGGUGAAAUCCUCCGGCUCAACCGGGGAAGUGCCUCGAAUACUGGCGGUCUGGAGGGAGGUAGGGGCGUGCGGAACUAACGGUGGAGCGGUGAAAUGCGUUGAUAUCGUUAGGAACUCCGGUGGCGAAGGCGGCACGCUAGACCUCUUCUGACGCUGAGGCACGAAAGCCAGGGGAGCGAACGGG
Molecule: ribosomal RNA, 253 nt
Filed under: uncultured bacterium
Lineage: Bacteria
Description: partial 16S ribosomal RNA
Rfam family: Bacterial small subunit ribosomal RNA
Source: RNAcentral